This 493-nucleotide ribosomal RNA is filed under the name Arthrobacter sp. Nj-15. RNAcentral's name for it is "bacterial SSU rRNA". It matches the Rfam family "Bacterial small subunit ribosomal RNA", at positions 496 to 987 of the family's 1533-position model. The record is from RNAcentral. Lineage: Bacteria; Bacillati; Actinomycetota; Actinomycetes; Micrococcales; Micrococcaceae.
GCUAACUACGUGCCAGCAGCCGCGGUAAUACGUAGGGCGCAAGCGUUAUCCGGAAUUAUUGGGCGUAAAGAGCUCGUAGGCGGUUUGUCGCGUCUGCCGUGAAAGUCCGGGGCUCAACUCCGGAUCUGCGGUGGGUACGGGCAGACUAGAGUGAUGUAGGGGAGACUGGAAUUCCUGGUGUAGCGGUGAAAUGCGCAGAUAUCAGGAGGAACACCGAUGGCGAUGGCAGGUCUCUGGGCAUUAACUGACGCUGAGGAGCGAAAGCAUGGGGAGCGAACAGGAUUAGAUACCCUGGUAGUCCAUGCCGUAAACGUUGGGCACUAGGUGUGGGGGACAUUCCACGUUUUCCGCGCCGUAGCUAACGCAUUAAGUGCCCCGCCUGGGGAGUACGGCCGCAAGGCUAAAACUCAAAGGAAUUGACGGGGGCCCGCACAAGCGGGGAGCAUGCGGAUUAAUUCGAUGCAACGCGAAGAACCUUACCAAGGCUUGACAU